This 684-nucleotide ribosomal RNA is filed under the name Aerococcus viridans. Its description in RNAcentral is "bacterial SSU rRNA". It matches the Rfam family "Bacterial small subunit ribosomal RNA", at positions 21 to 689 of the family's 1533-position model. Lineage: Bacteria; Bacillati; Bacillota; Bacilli; Lactobacillales; Aerococcaceae. The record is from RNAcentral.
GGCUCAGGACGAACGCUGGCGGCAUGCCUAAUACAUGCAAGUCGAGCGAACAGAUGAAGUGCUUGCACUUCUGACGUUAGCGGCGAACGGGUGAGUAACACGUAAGGAAUCUACCUAUAAGCGGGGGAUAACAUUCGGAAACGGGUGCUAAUACCGCAUAAUAUCUUCUUCCGCAUGGAAGAAGAUUGAAAGACGGCUCUGCUGUCACUUAUAGAUGACCUUGCGGUGCAUUAGUUAGUUGGUGGGGUAACGGCCUACCAAGACGAUGAUGCAUAGCCGACCUGAGAGGGUGAUCGGCCACAUUGGGACUGAGACACGGCCCAAACUCCUACGGGAGGCAGCAGUAGGGAAUCUUCCGCAAUGGGCGAAAGCCUGACGGAGCAAUGCCGCGUGAGUGAAGAAGGCCUUCGGGUCGUAAAACUCUGUUAUAAGAGAAGAACAAAUUGUAGAGUAACUGCUACAGUCUUGACGGUAUCUUAUCAGAAAGCCACGGCUACUACGUGCCAGCAGCCGCGGUAAUACGUAGGUGGCAAGCGUUGUCCGGGAUUUAUUGGGCGUAAAGGGAGCGCAGGUGGUUUCUUAAGUCUGAUGUGAAAGCCCACGGCUUACCGUGGAGGGUCAUUGGAAACUGGGUCACUUGAGUACAGAAGAGGAAUGUGGAACUCCAUGUGUACGUUGGAAUGC